Peromyscus maniculatus bairdii (prairie deer mouse) is the source of this 72-nucleotide small nucleolar RNA. The record is from Ensembl. Lineage: Eukaryota; Metazoa; Chordata; Mammalia; Rodentia; Cricetidae.
UGGAUCAGUGAUGACUGAGUGUGUUGUAUGAGUUGUGGAUCAUGACUACAGGUCUGGGAUUCUGAGGUUCAC